This 484-nucleotide ribosomal RNA is filed under the name uncultured bacterium. RNAcentral's name for it is "partial 16S ribosomal RNA". It matches the Rfam family "Bacterial small subunit ribosomal RNA", at positions 29 to 507 of the family's 1533-position model. The record is from RNAcentral.
AUUGAACGCUGGCGGCCUGCUUUCCCCCUGCACGUCGACCGGCAGCGCGGGUUUCGGCCUGGCGGCGAGUGGCGAACGGGUGAGUAAUACAUCGGAAAGUGCCCAGUAGUGGGGGAUAGCUCGGCGAAAGCCGGAUUAAUACCGCAUACGACCUGAGGGUGAAAGCGGGGGAUCUUCGGACCUCGCGCUAUUGGAGCGGCCGAUGGCAGAUUAGCUAGUUUGUGGGGUAAAGGCCUACCAAGGCGACGAUCUGUAGCUGGUCUGAGAGGACGACCAGCCACACUGGGACUGAGACACGGCCCAGACUCCUACAGGAGGCAGCAGUGGGGAAUUUUGGACAAUGGGCGAAAGCCUGAUCCAGCAAUGCCGCGUGUGUGAUGAAGGCCUUCGGGUUGUAAAGCACUUUGGGCGGGAACGAAAAGGACUGUGCCAAUACCACGGUUCGAUGACGGUACCCGCAGAAUAAGCACCGGCUAACUACGUG